CCCAGGCAGGCUCCAACGCCACUGAAAGCCAGCGACGGAGACAGGCAGCCUCCGAGGAAAGAGACAGCAGUGGGAAAUUUUGCUUUGAUGCCGGCUCGCCAGCUAGCUCCGGCACCAGGGAGGAGGAGGAGGAAGGACUGCCGGCUCUCGCGAUGCUCCCCUGCAUGUGUAUACACGCAGAGCUGAGCUCAGCCAGAGGUCCUGGGAGAGGGUUGCAACAACCACAGAGCAAGUCACCAGCUGUGCCCUGCCUGACUGGGCAGCACAUGGCUGGCACAGCCUGAGCCCCACAGUGGCACCUGACCACCCGCCGUCGGACAAGAAAGCCCACGGAGAAGAGCAGGCACUGCAAGGACGCUACGAAAGGACUGUGUUGUACAACCAUCCAUCGCCCCAAGAUGUCGAAGCACAAAGGCAGGGGUUAAGUCCAGCCUGGGAUGCUGAGCCCCUGCAGAUGGGCAGAGUGAGAGAUGAGGAAGAGCCCUGACCCACCUGAACCCAGAGGGAAUCUCCUGCACUGCUCCACUCCUGCUACCCCCUCAACAUCUUUAUUCACCAACUGCAAGUAAAGCUCCAGAGGGACUGUCAGCACUGAUUCAGAAGCCUGUGAGGUUAAUCCCAGACAGGACAGAAAUGUCAUCAAACCCAGCCAGCCCAUUGUGGUAUAACCCAAAAUAGCACAGUUAGUUUCCGCAACGGGCUUCUCUACAGAAGCAACAUAUCCUGUUCCAGUCUUGGCUCUCUGUGUGCCUUGUGAUUCAGUUUUGAGGGGAAGAAGUUCACAAAGAAGCUGCAUGAGUGAGUGCAAACCCCAGAAGUGCAUCCUGCAAAAAGGCAGUAAAGAUGGCUCUAAAGGCGACUGCACAAUCAACACUUUGCCAUAGAAAUACAGAACCAUAAACUGUCCUGAGCUCAAAGGGACCCGCAAGCAUCAUCGAGUCCAACUCCUGACCCUGCACAGGACAACUCCAAGAGUCACCCUGUGCCUGAGAGCAUUGUACAAACACUUCCUGAACUCCAGUAGGUUUGGUACCGUGACCACUCCCCUGGGGAGCCUGUUCCAGUGCCUGAACACCCUCCAGGUGAAGAACUGUUUCCUAAUAACCAACCUACCUCCCCUACCACCACGACUCAGCUUCGUGCCAUUCUCUCUAGUCCUGUCACUGCUCACCAGAGAGAAGAGAUCAGUGCCUGCCCCUCUGCUUCCUCAAACUUGCAGCAGGCUUGGCCAGCUGGCCAGGCAUGACUGUUUGCCAGUGGUCCAGUACAGGACAACUCACCCUUAAAACAAGAUGAAUGAGUUUCAGCAAGUAAACAAACACAGACUACCUGACAGAGGGACACAAAAAUGCCGUAAGAAAGACGUAUAGCACAUAAAAAAAGCCAAGGCUGCCAAGCCAAAGAGUUGCACAGAGCCCUUUCGUACACCAUUCCCCCAAGUCUGACAACAGAAGAACAUGAGGCUUUCAUGGGAGCCCAGUGCCUGUGCUGAUGGUUUCAAGUUGGCUCAGGCUCAGUGCAGCUUCUCAGUGGGAAAACAGCCCUGAAGGACUCAACAGAAAGCACAGCGACUCUCUUCUCCUCUCCCUGUUGUCAAAGCAUCACUUGAAGCAAGAGCCUGAAAAUGUAUUACCUGGGAAAGCAAAGCAACCACAUUAGGGAGCGAGAGCACAAAGCACACCAUGACAUUUACAAGUGAGCUUGAGCUCACUCAUUUGUAUUUCAAAGGCCAGGUUGACACAAGAUAUUUUUCUUGCUCUAGCUUUGGCUGUGAAGGGAAUAAUACACGAUUUUGAGAGCUGCUGCCACUGCCAUCGGCUUUCCUGCAGAGUCAGAUACAACAAUAUUCAGCCUGCUUUGCUUGGAGAACAUAAGGACCAAUCUUGGAAAAUCCCCCUUUGGCUGAUACAAACAAAACCAAUUUCAGGAGUCUUGCUCAUGUCCACACACUCUCUUCCUAUGGCUCAAGUGAAUGAAUAUUAAGCUAAUCGUGUUCAGUGUCUCCCCAUCUUCAGUAAAUUCACACUAUGAAAGUUU
Corvus hawaiiensis (hawaiian crow) is the source of this 2037-nucleotide long non-coding RNA. RefSeq lists it as uncharacterized. NCBI's taxonomy places the organism in Eukaryota, Metazoa, Chordata, Aves, Passeriformes, Corvidae. The record is from RefSeq and is a predicted model, not a curated record. The transcript is spliced from 3 exons.